GAUGAACGCUAGCGGCAGGCUUAAUACAUGCAAGUCAAGGGGGUAGCAAUACAACCGGCGCACGGGUGAGUAACGCGUACACAACAUACCAUAUACUGGAGUAUAGCUUUGGGAAACUGAAGGUAAUCCUCCAUAACAUUGCGAGAGGGCAUCUGAUUGCAAUUAAAGUUUCGGCGGUAUAUGAUUGGUGUACGUUUGAUUAGCUAGUUGGUAGGGUAACGGCCUACCAAGGCGACGAUCAAUAGCUGGCGUGAGAGCGCGACCAGCCACACUGGAACUGAGACACGGUCCAGACUCCUACGGGAGGCAGCAGUAGGGAAUAUUGGACAAUGGAGGAAACUCUGAUCCAGCCAUGCCGCGUGAUAGAUGAAGGCCCUCUGGGUUGUAAAUAUCUUUUAUCUGGGAAGAAACACUCCUAUUCUUAGGAACUUGACGGUACCAGAGGAAUAAGCACCGGCUAACUCCGUG
This 468-nucleotide ribosomal RNA is filed under the name uncultured bacterium. Its description in RNAcentral is "bacterial SSU rRNA". It matches the Rfam family "Bacterial small subunit ribosomal RNA", at positions 28 to 507 of the family's 1533-position model. The record is from RNAcentral.